This 551-nucleotide long non-coding RNA is filed under the name Physcomitrium patens. Its description in RNAcentral is "long non-coding RNA (PPAT_LNC004518)". Lineage: Eukaryota; Viridiplantae; Streptophyta; Bryopsida; Funariales; Funariaceae. The record is from RNAcentral.
UACUUUCGCAGAUGCCUGAUUGCAUUAAGAGAUCCUUAAAUUAUCUAGCUAACCAUAGUUGAAGAGUAUAGUCAAUUAUAUAAACUCAUUGACCAAACUCGUUGAGUUCUGAAUCUUGUCUAAUCUGGCAUUUACAGGAGUUCGGGAUGUUAUAGGUGGGAUCCUGUGGAAUACAGGUAUCCUCUCAACAGGUUCAAAGAAUCGGGAUCUUCUAUUCAGCUAUGUGGUGUCAGCCGCCACAUCCAGAACUAUCGACGCUUAAUAUGCUGAUCCAAGAUCGGAAUUUGAAAAUUCACGAACUUAAUUGCACUCUGAUGCUACUGUUGGUCCUUAUUAGAUAGACAAGAUUACAGAUUGUGUGGACUAAAAGUACCUGUUAGCUGCUUGGAACUUAUCGUUAUUCUUGAUUCUGAAAUUUUUACUCCACAUGCUCGACACUUGCAGAUGAUAGCAAUUGAUGCAUCCUGGCAGCAGGAUAUGUCACUAUUGGGCUUAAAAUCUGACCAAUCCAAAGCAGCAGAGUCCAUUAUGCAACCAACUCACCAUGGACU